This 58-nucleotide transfer RNA is filed under the name Salmo trutta (river trout). It matches the Rfam family "tRNA", at positions 8 to 63 of the family's 71-position model. From Rfam's summary of the family: Transfer RNA (tRNA) molecules are approximately 80 nucleotides in length. Their secondary structure includes four short double-helical elements and three loops (D, anti-codon, and T loops). Further hydrogen bonds mediate the characteristic L-shaped molecular structure. tRNAs have two regions of fundamental functional importance: the anti-codon, which is responsible for specific mRNA codon recognition, and the 3' end, to which the tRNAs corresponding amino acid is attached (by aminoacyl-tRNA synthetases). tRNAs cope with the degeneracy of the genetic code in two manners: having more than one tRNA (with a specific anti-codon) for a particular amino acid; and 'wobble' base-pairing, i.e. permitting non-standard base-pairing at the 3rd anti-codon position. The record is from Rfam by way of RNAcentral. Lineage: Eukaryota; Metazoa; Chordata; Actinopteri; Salmoniformes; Salmonidae. RNAcentral also lists the same sequence under 1 other name.
UAGCUCAGUUGGUAGAGCAUGGUGUUUGCAACGCCAGGGUUGUGUGUUCGAUUCCCAU